AGCAUCCCAGAGGCCGCUUCCUCGGUCGAGGACCCAGAGAGACUCAGGGGAAAUUAGAGCAUGAUGGCGGCCGAGGUCGCUUGGCGCAACCAUCGUCUUUUUUCUUUAUUUUUAGCUCAUUAGUGCCUUGCCUCGGCGCUGUUUCCCUAAGCUCCUCUCUCCAACCAGUACUGCCCUAUAACGGAAUCCAUACGUGCCGGCUCCUUGAUUUAUCCCCUCCGAAGUGCUGAGUGUGGGCUGGUUGUGCGUCAUUGGACUGUCAGGAUGUCACUCCCCAGUCAAAUCUUCAAGCUAUUGGUGGAACAGCAAGAAAGCCCGUCCAUCAACAAGGGCUAAUACCAUUGGUUUGACUCCACUGUGUUAUUUCCUGGCACCUUAUUGGGCAAAUAGGUGCGUCAGAUCCGGAUUCGCUCUGCUACGGUUAAUUGUUUACUGGGGAUUUGGGGUCAACUCUGGUUGUUUGGCCAGUAGUUGACGAUAAUAGUGACUCCCUUGCCUAUUUUGUGCCAAGUAUUGGGCUGCUUUCUUCACAAACAUUAUCUGGUUAAACCUGGGAGUAAUGCAGUAUCCAGUUUUUAUAGAUGGGAAAUUAAGGCUGGCGAGAGCUUAGAAAACUUGCCCAAGGUCAUCCAGAUACAGAGUCGUUGGUGGGCCUGGCAUCUGGUCCUGGGUCAAACUGCAGAGACUUCACUCUUUUUAUUAUGCUUUAGUGCCUCCACCUUAGACGAUGUACUUGUCAGCCAACCUAGCAUCUUAAAAACGUUUCAUUUGGAACUCAAAGUCUUCAGUCAGUUUCUAGAAGUGACUUUGUUGGGGACUUACUAUGGAAAGGUUGUCAUUGCCUCCACCACAUCUUCCUCCCCAGGACCCAUUCCUCUCCCCUUUAAGGUAGACAUUUCUGCCUCCUUUUAUGCGAAGCCUAGGCACCACUCGCAACCCCUGACCAACCAUCUACAACUCAUUCUUUGGAGAGAGUCCUCAAGAGCUGGAAAACUAGGAGAAAUCAAGUCUAAAGAGAGAGACAGAAUAAAUCGUCUUAGAAAUGAAUAAUUUAUUGCAUGCAAAGAGAACAGCCCUUCAGCUCCUGGAAAUCUUCCAGGAUAGUUGAUGCUGAGCAAGACGUGUGCUCCUGGCUGGUGGCCACUGGGUUCUUUCCCUAUAGCAGCAUUCAUCGAAGUGAAUCCAACAUUUCAGCCAGAGGAGGGCAGGACGCUUAGGACCCAUUGCCAGUGAGCUUUUGCGACCGAAAUGAUCUCCAGGAGCACAACGCUGGACUCUAGCCCACAUUCCAUCUUGGGUAAUUAACAUUUUACCGUCCCAAAUCCCCAUCCCCUGUAGCUUCAGUGGGAUCACCGCCCUUGUUUCACUUCCUGAUCCAAGCUGUUGUGUAACCUCCUUGGCACUGCUUUAAUAAUAAAACAACCAUUGUAACAUAGUAACAAUGCUCAACACUUAGAGCCUUUCAGCAAAUGAAGCCAAGGUAUUUCAUAAACGUCAA
Long non-coding RNA from Homo sapiens (human), 1498 nucleotides. Ensembl annotates it as TNRC6B divergent transcript. Its record names the gene TNRC6B-DT. The record is from Ensembl. Lineage: Eukaryota; Metazoa; Chordata; Mammalia; Primates; Hominidae.